GAGCUAAGACAGAUUCCCAGUCGUCCCGAGGGCUAACCCACUCUUGGGAUCGGAGGGAGCCAGGGAGGAGAGGGAAGCGAGAACGUCGCCGGGCGGAGGGUGUAGGAGCGUGGCGGGGGCGACGAGAGGGAGCGCGACGGGGCGGCGGGGACGGCGAGAGGAACGCAGCAGCGGAGGCGAACGGAGCGGUAGCGAGGGAGCCACGAAUCGUCCCCCUCGCGCCCAGUGGCAGCCGAGAGCGCUCUCCAGUGGAGGGGGCCAGUUGAGACCGGUGGAGGUGGUGGUGUGUGACCGUCCUCGGGUGGCGGUGAGUAGGAAGAGGAGGUAGCGUACCAGUAGUGGCCCUCCCCCUCACCGAGACGGACCUCCGCAGCGAUAGCCGACCUCCUCGCGGCCUGGUAGCAGAAUCCCAAGUACGUGGAGACCCUUCUUCCACUUGGCUCCCCCGACCUAGGGUUGCCCGUUUCUACGUGAGGAGGUCUCGACGACCCUUCUUCUUCUUCUUCUACCCUUUUAUCUUGUUAAAGUUCAAACCAAUAGAGGUACACCUUGGGGAUGGCGCACUACCGGACUAACACAACAGGACAGAGGUACUCGUCCUCCAUCAUUAAGGGUUCGACGUCUUUUAGUUUCUAGUUUAGCAAGGUACAAAACUAAUCCAUCCUCGUUCUCCUUCCUCAUGGAGGUACGAGAACCAUCAUGGAGGUACAACGUUUAAGGCUCCGUGAUGGUUAUAUAACGUGAUAAUGAUGUUGAUAGACCGUUCGAAGUGCUCACUCAUGUCUAACUGCCAAUAAUGGGCCGUUCGUUUAGGUGGAGACGUCGAUACGAACCAUCGAGUAAGAGUUCACUGAACGUUAGAGACGAAUGACUCAAUAACCACAAUUAAGAUGAAGACAAACUCGUAAAACACAAAAUAAACUUCGAAACUUAAUUAGGUCGUAAUCGAAAUGAUUAUUAUUUAAACAAACGGCCCUCGUCAAACUUGUUCGAACGUUGAUCUCACGUUUUAUUUAAUGGAUGUGUUUUCCGUCUACGUCCGGCAGUGACCGCCGACCGUAAGGGGAGGAGCUCGACCGCCUGAUUACUACCUCCUGACGGGGCACGAGGUCGGUGUACGGUGACCGGGCACGAGCAGAACGGAUGGGGCACGAACAAACGGGAGAAGCGAGGUGGCCGCGGCGACGAAGACGAAGACGACGAGCGAGCGGUUGCCGUCGUGUCCAGGCUGAAGUUAGACGACUAAAGACAGACCACUUCGUUCGUUAUCCACUAGAUACAGACCACUUCGUUCUUCCACUAAAUACAGACCUCGUCAAUUGACUUCUAAUUAACCAAGUUCGUUUUAAUCAACUAAGUUCGUUGUUAAAGAAGGGGACGAGGACGUUCAGGUAGUUACCAACGACCACGACCACUCUAGAGAGAAGUUUUACACAACAACUACCACGACUAAAUACGUUCGGGUAUUCAAGAACAACGACGACUAAAUACGUUCGGGUAUACAACAACAACGACGACUAAAUACGUUCGGGUAUUCAAGACAACGACGACUAAACAACGACGACCUUUACACAGUAUUACACAACAGUGUUGUGUGACGAACUACGUGACAGACCUCAUCAUUGUGACGACCUUGGUAUAAAAUCAGGAGAUCAGAUUCAUCGUCAAGUUUUAAGUCAAGUUCGUCGUCAGAAUCGUCAUCAUUACCAACGAACUAGACAAAGUACGUACAUAUAUAGUGGUCAGAUUCGUCAUCAUUACAACGAUACUGAUAAAACAACUAAUCACGUGGGUACGGUAGUCAAAAACUAGAACUAAAGUUUACAGUACCUCAUGACGACCUCAUAUACCAGUUCAAAUACCUCUUCUGUUCUACUUCGCCUGUCCUCUAAACCGAGCGGGCUGGUGACAAGACGGGGCCACGAACAGGCUCUGCUCGCCGGCUGAGCGAUCGAGGGGGAGGGCGGUGACGGAGUAGUAGACACGACGGCAACUGCCGAAGAGCCAUUCUGUCUCUACUCUCAGGUUAGAUGCCGGAGGGAUCCAACGUAGGUAGCCACUCCUCGCCGGCUAGGUGUACACACAGCAGGGACGUCUGUGCUUACAGUCGCUCUCUCCGGUAACUAUCUAGUGUGGUGACAGAGGGAGAGGGGACCACCGUGGAGGGAUGCACUCGAGGAAGGUAUUUAGGGAACGCGACGGAGAGAAGGAUCGAAAAACGGUUCCCAUGUCAAAAAGACGUACCCCCUAAUCCGACCAGUGAAUCCUACUAUUAACGGAGUUUACUAAGUCUAAUUCUCAAGACGAGAUUCUAUACAUACGGGAUCUCUUGAUUAAUAAAACGACCAAAACGUCUAAAACUCUACACUGGACCAACCAAAACCCUGAAAACCACAGUCAUAUAAGAAACACGGGAACGGUCCCUAAUAGACUACACCCAGUACUGUGUUCGUUAUAGACUACACCCCGUACUUACAAGUAUAGGCUUUCUAAUUCUGUUUUCAAAUUAUAACUGUAUUCGUAUGAUUGUUACAUUAAUACAGAAGAGUUUUAUUGUACCAGUUUCUUUCGAGUAGGGAUGUUUUAGUAUAUCAAACCGAUACGAGGUAGAAGCAGUGUGUUUUAUAAAUUUAGUACGUGUUGGGGCCAAAAUCCGUUCGUUAACAAAGUAUGAAAUCAUAAGAGUUUAAAAAAGUUGAAAGUGCGUUAUGUACUCGCACCCGGUAACUGUAUCGUGAUAUCCACCUUAUCUUACCACCAACACCUCUUCUGUUUUUUCUCCACUAUCACAGUGUAGUUGAUCCGCAUAGUUGUACGAUACCUCUACGGGUAAUUAUCUAUAGUUACAAUCACUCAUACCUAACGGUAAGUUACCUACGUAAUUUCGAUAUUUACAUACUUUCGAGUUUUUCUUUGAUUCACCCACACGUAGGUUGAACAAACGAGUACUUCUGGAUACCAUAAACUCCUUCGGGUAGCAACCUUAUAUGUUCGGUUCAAGAUAUUACUUCUUAAGGG
This 3018-nucleotide ribosomal RNA is filed under the name Triticum aestivum (bread wheat). RNAcentral describes it as "partial small subunit ribosomal RNA". The record is from RNAcentral. Lineage: Eukaryota; Viridiplantae; Streptophyta; Magnoliopsida; Poales; Poaceae.